This 253-nucleotide ribosomal RNA is filed under the name uncultured bacterium. Its description in RNAcentral is "partial 16S ribosomal RNA". It matches the Rfam family "Bacterial small subunit ribosomal RNA", at positions 524 to 776 of the family's 1533-position model. The record is from RNAcentral.
UACGGAAGGGGCGAGCGUUGUUCGGAAUCAUUGGGCGUAAAGGGCGCGUAGGUGGUUCUGUAUGUCUACCGUGAAAGCGUACGGCUCAACCGUAUUUUGUCGGCAGAAACUGCAGGACUUGAGGCUGGGAGGGGCUGGUGGAAUUCCCUGUGUAGCGGUGAAAUGCGUAGAGAUGGGGGAGAACACUCGUGGCGAAGGCGGCCAGCUAGACCAGUUCUGACACUGAGGCGCGACAGCGUGGGGAGCAAACAGG